This 253-nucleotide ribosomal RNA is filed under the name uncultured bacterium. RNAcentral's name for it is "partial 16S ribosomal RNA". It matches the Rfam family "Bacterial small subunit ribosomal RNA", at positions 524 to 776 of the family's 1533-position model. The record is from RNAcentral.
UACAGAGGGUGCAAGCGUUAAUCGGAGUUACUGGGCGUAAAGGGCGCGUAGGUGGUCAUUUAAGUUAGAUGUGAAAUCCCUGGGCUUAACCUAGGAACUGCAUCUAAUACUGGAUGACUGGAGUACUGUAGAGGGUAGUGGAAUUUCCGGUGUAGCGGUGAAAUGCGUAGAGAUCGGAAGGAACACCAGUGGCGAAGGCGGCUACCUGGACAGAUACUGACACUGAGGCGCGAAAGCCAGGGGAGCAAACGGG